GACGAACGCUGGCGGCGUGCUUAACACAUGCAAGUCGAGCGGUAAGGCCCUUUCGGGGGUACGACGAGCGGCGAACGGGUGAGUAACACGUGGGUGACCUGCCCUCAGCUCUGGGAUAAGCCUGGGAAACGUAGGGUCUAAUACUGGAUAUGACUCCACGGUGCAUGUCGUGGGGUGGAAAGCCUUGUGCGGCUGAGGAUGGGCCCGCGGCCUAUCAGCUUGUUGGUGGGGGAUGGCCUACCAAGGCGACGACGGGUAGCCGGCCUGAGAGGGCGACCGGCCACACUGGGACUGAGACACGGCCCAGACUCCUACGGGAGGCAGCAGUAGGGAAUCUUCCGCAAUGGACGAAAGUCUGACGGAGCAACGCCGCGUGAGCGAAGAAGGCCUCGGUCGUAA
RNAcentral lists this ribosomal RNA (399 nucleotides) under uncultured bacterium. RNAcentral's name for it is "bacterial SSU rRNA". It matches the Rfam family "Bacterial small subunit ribosomal RNA", at positions 28 to 428 of the family's 1533-position model. The record is from RNAcentral.